Molecule: ribosomal RNA, 406 nt
Filed under: uncultured bacterium
Lineage: Bacteria
Description: partial 16S ribosomal RNA
Rfam family: Bacterial small subunit ribosomal RNA
Source: RNAcentral
AUUGAACGCUGGCGGCAGGCCUAACACAUGCAAGUCGAACGAGUGGCGGACGGGUGAGUAAUGUAUCGGAACGAGCCUGGUGGCGGGGGAUAACUACUGGCAACGGUAGCUAAUACCGCAUACCAUAAGAUGUGCCCAGAUCGGCAUAGCUAGUUGGUGGGGUAAAGGCUCACCAAGGCAAGUAUCCGUAGCUGGUCUGACAGGAGGACCAGCCACACUGGAACUGAGACACGGCCCAGACUCUUACGGGAGGCAGCAGUGGGGAAUUUGGCACAAUGGGCGAAAUCCGGAUGCAGCCAUUCCGCGUGUAUGAGGAAGGCCUUCGGGUUGUAAAGUACGUUCAGCGGGGAGGCGUUACCCGAAGAAUAAGCACCGGCUAACUACGUGCCAGCAGCCGCGGUAAUAC